This 1597-nucleotide small RNA is filed under the name Rattus norvegicus (Norway rat). RNAcentral describes it as "uncharacterized LOC108350412". The record is from RNAcentral. Lineage: Eukaryota; Metazoa; Chordata; Mammalia; Rodentia; Muridae.
UAAGCUCCUUUCCCAGAGAUAUUCUGGGCUCAAAGGAAUACAUUUGGGGAAUGGAACCUACACCUCAAAAGACCCAAGAGUUGGUCAUUGAUGUGGUUAGCAUUUCCAAUCACCUCCAUUUGUGAGAUAUGGGGACUAUGGUGCUGUGUCCCUAGCCAUCCCUUGGCCUUGGAGUCCUUCGAACUCAUUGAGCUGGAAAUAGAAGGCUUCAGAGAAUGGCACUGGGAAUGGAGCAGCUCUUCCCUUUUGCUUGAUAGAAGCUGCCUGCUCCUUCAGUGCUUCCAGAUACCAAGGUCUCUCUGCCCUCCCUUGGAAUUUAAGGACACGGGGUCUACUUCCUGGUGAAGGAAUCACAAAUUUUCACUGCUGUAUUUCCAAACUCUGGGGGGUCAGAAUGAAAACUUCUAGGUGUAUCCUAAGGUAGGAAUCUUGCCAGGAAGAAAGACUCACAAACUUUGUCACAAUUGGCUGAGUAAGAGGUAAUCUGGUCACAGGUAAUCAAUGAAAAAGGAAGAGAAACACUCGUACGAAGCCCUUCGCCUACAAAGUCCACAGGGAGAUGGCCUGUGAUCAACAGCGCGGAAGUGAGCUAAGAGGUCCUGAAGGAGCACAACUGUACCCUUUUCAUAGUGCAAAUUCUGAACCAGUUCAAAGAGAAGGUGUAGAAGCAAGGCAGACAGGGAUAACAACACUACCUGCAUCACUGAAAAUCCUUGGAAAUGCAAAACGGUUCAUGCCUGUGGGUCAACAGGCAGAGCCUCCAAACCAUGCCAUGCCUACAAGACCCAAUACAGGUGACAGUUCCCGAGAGAAUGGCUAAUAUGCCACCUCUGCCUCCCAAGUACUGGGGUUACAGGCAGCCAUCAGCACACCAGUUAAUAUGUUGCUAGAGAUUGGCCAAGGUCUCAUGUACAUAGGCAAGUACUAGACCAAGUAAACUACAUCCUGACACCCUGCUCGUCUGGAGACAUAUCUCACUAUGGAACCCAGGUUGGCCUUAAAUUUGUGGUUCACCUGCAUCUGCCGCUCAAAAGCUGGGGUUACCGGCCUCUGCCACCUCAGUUUACAACAGGAAAUUUGAAGAUAGAAAAUCAUUCUAGGGGGUAGUAAAGUGUUUUUGGUACAAGAAUGGAUAGCAGAACCCAUGUAAAUGUCAAGUGGAGUGACACAUACCCACCAUCCUGGUGUUGCGUAAGCAGAGACUGGACUAUCUCUGGAGUUCAUUGUCCAUCCAGUCAAACUGAAUCCAUGAGUUCCAAGUUCAAUGAGAAACCUUACCUCAAAAAGUCAGGUGGGGAGCAACAGAGGAAGACGUUCAACAUUGACUUCUGAUUUCCGCACAAUAUGAUUCUGACUAUAUAAUACCCAUAAAAUUACUAGAAUGGACUGAAUUCUAAUUCUAUUUUUCCUUAGGUACCAGCUCUCUCACUUUGGGAUAGUUGAUAAUUUCACUGAUAAAUGGGCAUUAUAUUUAAAUCAGAAGGUAUGCAUGGCAUUUAAAAAGCUGGUAGAGAAAUUUCUUAACACAUGACUAAUACUAGGUAUUCUCUAGUUUCCUCUACUUCUCUUGGUGCUAUUCACUUUACACACACACACA